Molecule: ribosomal RNA, 253 nt
Filed under: uncultured bacterium
Lineage: Bacteria
Description: partial 16S ribosomal RNA
Rfam family: Bacterial small subunit ribosomal RNA
Source: RNAcentral
UACGAGAGGUCCAAACGUUAUUCGGAAUCACUGGGCUUACAGGGUGCGUAGGCGGCUUAGCAAGUCAGGUGUGAAAGCCCCCGGCUCAACCGGGGAACUGCGCUUGAAACUGCUGAGCUCGAGUCAGCUAGAGGUACACGGAACUUCCAGUGGAGCGGUGAAAUGUGUUGAUAUUGGAAAGAACACCGGAGGCGAAAGCGGUGUACUGGGGCUGGUCUGACGCUGAGGCACGAAAGCCAGGGGAGCGAACGGG